This 1906-nucleotide unclassified non-coding RNA is filed under the name Hevea brasiliensis (rubber tree). The record is from RNAcentral. Lineage: Eukaryota; Viridiplantae; Streptophyta; Magnoliopsida; Malpighiales; Euphorbiaceae.
UGGAUGGGUUAAGAUUGAAAUCCCCCUUCAGUCUUGAUCAUCCACUCCUUAGAGGCUCUUAUAGUGUGAUCUUAUCUGGUCCUUUUUGAGUUUCAUGACAGAUCUGAAUUUCAAGGUCCAUGCCCUUGAUUUCCUUAUUUUUAUAAUGAAAUUUUGCUAACAAUUAUUGAAAGAGGACAAAAGAUUAUCGCAAAUGAAUGGAACUUGAUUACACCAAAAAGAAGGGCAUAAGAUCAUUUAUAUACUGAGGGGAUGUUUGUAAUUUUAGGAAGUUGACUUCUUCAGAUUUUUCUUCGUUUGAGGAAAUAUGUUCUCAUAAAGUAAUAUUUUGAUAAAAAAAAAUUGACCCAAACAGAGAAUGAUGGUGUGCAGUUUUAAUGUUGGAUGUAGCUACUGAGAGCUUAUAUUUUAUAAGCUCGUUGGAUUUGUUAACAGGCUUUGCAUCCUACCCAACUUUUUGACAAUUUUUGCCUAUCCGAGAAACCAAAUGAUCUGAUAUUAAGGUGAUUUUGUCAGAGUUCUCCUAUAGUUUUCAUGCGUUCUCAAGGAAAUCUCUGACCAAGAGACUGAGGAAAGGCUGCAGUCAAUUGUCUCUCUCUUUGUUGCCUGGCUCUUGUUUGAGUAUAAUUUCAUGCAUUCUCAAAUCUCUAACCAAAGAUAACAUGAGGGUAUGUCUGUUUUACCGUCCAUUGGUAUGUCUUCAUUGACCGGCUCUAGUUUGAGUUAAUUUUUUUUAAGGCAGUUGAAUUGUCCUUUCAAUAGGUGGAUAUAUUGAGCACUAAGCAGAGUAGGAUGACAUUACUUGUAGGGUGACCAAACAUCAAAGGCGUUACUUUGAAUUAAUACGCUCGUGCACUAAAUAGGCAUGGCUGUUGCUUGGUCAAGCAUGUACGGUCUAUUCUCCCAUGGUUAAAAAAUAUUCUAUUUGCAUUUGCCUUUUCUUUCUGUGUGUCCUUUUUCUUUUUAAUAUUUCUUCUGUUAAUGAUCUGCAAAUGUAAUUUCCGUUUAUUUAUCAAGCUUUAGGAGCUCUAAUGAUAAAAAAGGGAUGUGUUUUAUGCUGUAUCAAAAUUCAUAUUUGAUGUUGUGCGGGAACUGUUGCUUAUAAUUUAUUGGGUAAAUUACAACUUAAUCCCUGAGAUUUAAUAAAAAGCCUAUAUUUUCAAAAUGUAACAGUAUAGUCCAUGAGUUUUUAUCCAUCAGACAAUAGCUCUUCCUUAUAAAAAAAACCCAAAAUACGGUUAAUGAUUGUGAAAUGAUAAAGAGGACCUUAGGGCUAAUUUAGUAGUCUUCUUUUUCCUCCAUAAACCAAACUUUUUUGGACACAUAACCUAUUGCAAGGAGAUGCAUUAUUACUUGUAAAUUCCUUGGGCAAAAUGGAGUUGUAAGAUUCAAAGCCAUAAUUACUCAAUAAUUAAAUAAGCUAACUAACAUAUUCUCUUCAUGGAUACCAAAAUCCGCCCAUCCUUCUCUUUCCUUUCUCUCUACAACAUCGAAAACCCAAAUAACCUCCUCCCUUGUUGUUGAGAACCCACAGUAAAGAUUGAGAACACGAAGUUGUUCUUCUCUUCAGUCAAUGGUUCUUCAGCAUCUAUAUUGUGUUUCAAAACUGGUUUCAUAAAGGUUAAUGGAGUCAAGUUCUUGUUCUUUCCACUUUAGGCAUUUACAUGCUUCUCUUUUGGCGGAUUGUUUCCUCCUGAGGAAGAGAGUUACUGUAGAUUUGUGAUCAUGGGUAGCUUCACAGGUUGUAAUUUAUGUUUAAUAUUUCUGCUGGCAUUUCAAAGACUGGACCAUUUCUAGGCAAGAAAGUACCUAUCUUUGUUAAAAUGACUAUAAUAUCCUAAAUGGCCUGCAUGUAAGUUACACAUGAUUUAAUGAAUUCUUAAUGCAAUAACUAAUCUGAUUGAAC